GCCCAGUGAUGAGAUCAUGGCGUUUAUGAGCUUGUUGGACCAAGAGAUCUUGCUCUUAUGUCACUUGGUUGGUGGGUAAUCUUGGCAGUGUGACGGAGUCUUGUUGCACUGCUGUAAGGGCGCACCUACAGUCAUUUAGAGCCCUACACUUUCUGUCCUCUCAGUAGAAAUGCAGAUGGACACAUGGUAGGGCUCAGACAAUGCGUGUCUGUCAUGUCUUUGUAUGAAAGGUUUUUGAAUGUAAAUGUAUCAGGUGACAAGAAGCAAGUCUCUGUUGAGGGUCUUUUGAAAGCAAAGAUUAUUAUUAUUCUUUGGUAAUCUGAGGGCA
Gadus morhua (Atlantic cod) is the source of this 328-nucleotide small nucleolar RNA. The record is from Ensembl. Lineage: Eukaryota; Metazoa; Chordata; Actinopteri; Gadiformes; Gadidae.